This 450-nucleotide ribosomal RNA is filed under the name uncultured bacterium. RNAcentral's name for it is "partial 16S ribosomal RNA". It matches the Rfam family "Bacterial small subunit ribosomal RNA", at positions 354 to 796 of the family's 1533-position model. The record is from RNAcentral.
GUGGGGAAUUUUGGACAAUGGGCGCAAGCCUGAUCCAGCAAUGCCGCGUGCAGGAAGAAGGCCUUCGGGUUGUAAACUGCUUUUGUACGGAACGAAACGGUCCGGGUUAAUACCCUGGGCUAAUGACGGUACCGUAAGAAUAAGCACCGGCUAACUACGUGCCAGCAGCCGCGGUAAUACGUAGGGUGCAAGCGUUAAUCGGAAUUACUGGGCGUAAAGCGUGCGCAGGCGGUUUUGUAAGACAGGCGUGAAAUCCCCGGGCUCAGCCUGGGAAUUGCGCUUGUGACUGCAAGGCUGGAGGGCGGCAGAGGGGGAUGGAAUUCCGCGUGUAGCAGUGAAAUGCGUAGAUAUGCGGAGGAACACCGAUGGCGAAGGCAAUCCCCUGGGCCUGCACUGACGCUCAUGCACGAAAGCGUGGGGAGCAAACAGGAUUAGAUACCCGUGUAGUCC